RNAcentral lists this transfer RNA (73 nucleotides) under Saccoglossus kowalevskii. RNAcentral's name for it is "tRNA-Arg". It matches the Rfam family "tRNA". From Rfam's summary of the family: Transfer RNA (tRNA) molecules are approximately 80 nucleotides in length. Their secondary structure includes four short double-helical elements and three loops (D, anti-codon, and T loops). Further hydrogen bonds mediate the characteristic L-shaped molecular structure. tRNAs have two regions of fundamental functional importance: the anti-codon, which is responsible for specific mRNA codon recognition, and the 3' end, to which the tRNAs corresponding amino acid is attached (by aminoacyl-tRNA synthetases). tRNAs cope with the degeneracy of the genetic code in two manners: having more than one tRNA (with a specific anti-codon) for a particular amino acid; and 'wobble' base-pairing, i.e. permitting non-standard base-pairing at the 3rd anti-codon position. The record is from RNAcentral. Lineage: Eukaryota; Metazoa; Hemichordata; Enteropneusta; Harrimaniidae.
GGGUGUGUGGCGCAAUGGAUAAGGCGUCUGACUACGGAUCAGAAGAUUCCAGGUUCGAAUCCUGGUACGCUCG